Molecule: ribosomal RNA, 253 nt
Filed under: uncultured bacterium
Lineage: Bacteria
Description: partial 16S ribosomal RNA
Rfam family: Bacterial small subunit ribosomal RNA
Source: RNAcentral
UACGGAGGGUGCAAGCGUUAUCCGGAUUCACUGGGUUUAAAGGGUGCGUAGGUGGGUUGGUAAGUCAGUGGUGAAAUCUCCAGGCUUAACUUGGAAACUGCCAUUGAUACUAUCAGUCUUGAAUACUGUGGAGGUCAGCGGAAUAUGUCAUGUAGCGGUGAAAUGCUUAGAUAUGACAUAGAACACCAAUUGCGAAGGCAGCUGGCUACACAAAUAUUGACACUGAGGCACGAAAGCGUGGGGAUCAAACAGG